This 452-nucleotide ribosomal RNA is filed under the name uncultured bacterium. RNAcentral describes it as "partial 16S ribosomal RNA". It matches the Rfam family "Bacterial small subunit ribosomal RNA", at positions 355 to 824 of the family's 1533-position model. The record is from RNAcentral.
UGGGGGAUAUUGCACAAUGGAGGAAACUCUGAUGCAGCAACGCCGCGUGAAGGAUGAAGGUCUUCGGAUUGUAAACUUUUGUACUUGGGGACGAUAAUGACGGUACCCAAGCAGCAAGCUCCGGCUAACUACGUGCCAGCAGCCGCGGUAAUACGUAGGGAGCAGGCGUUGUCCGGAUUUACUGGGUGUAAAGGGUGCGUAGGCGGCUAUGCAAGUCAGUUGUGAAAACUAUGGGCUCAACCCAUAGCCUGCAAUUGAAACUGCGUGGCUUGAGUGAAGUAGAGGUAGGUGGAAUUCCCGGUGUAGCGGUGAAAUGCGUAGAGAUCGGGAGGAACACCAGUGGCGAAGGCGACCUACUGGGCUUUAACUGACGCUGAGGCACGAAAGCAUGGGUAGCAAACAGGAUUAGAUACCCUGGUAGUCCAUGCCGUAAACGAUGAUUACUAGGUGUG